RNAcentral lists this ribosomal RNA (494 nucleotides) under uncultured bacterium. RNAcentral's name for it is "partial 16S ribosomal RNA". It matches the Rfam family "Bacterial small subunit ribosomal RNA", at positions 28 to 507 of the family's 1533-position model. The record is from RNAcentral.
GACGAACGCUGGCGGCGUGCCUAAUACAUGCAAGUAGAACGCUGAAGGAGGAGCUUGCUUCUCUGGAUGAGUUGCGAACGGGUGAGUAACGCGUAGGUAACCUGCCUGGUAGCGGGGAUAACUAUUGGAAACGAUAGCUAAUACCGCAUAAGAGUAGAUGUUGCAUGACAUUUGCUUAAAAGGUGCAAUUGCAUCACUACCAGAUGGACCUGCGUUGUAUUAGCUAGUUGGUGAGGUAACGGCUCACCAAGGCAACGAUACAUAGCCGACCUGAGAGGGUGAUCGGCCACACUGGGACUGAGACACGGCCCAGACUCCUACGGGAGGCAGCAGUAGGGAAUCUUCGGCAAUGGACGGAAGUCUGACCGAGCAACGCCGCGUGAGUGAAGAAGGUUUUCGGAUCGUAAAGCUCUGUUGUAAGAGAAGAACGAGUGUGAGAGUGGAAAGUUCACACUGUGACGGUAUCUUACCAGAAAGAGACGGCUAACUACGUG